CUUGCCUGUAUCACAGCGGUUUCACGUUCAACGCUGAAGCUCACAUCAAUGCCAUUGUUAAAGUAGAUAACUGGCUACUAGCUAACUAUUUAUAGUUGUAUUAUUCUCAGCUACAUCUUAUCUCAUAACCAGGCCAACAUAAAACAGUGGUACAUAUGGAGCUGACAUGGGAGGACGUCCCGCUCCCAUCCCCAGACUGUCUAUUAUUUAACAAAGACCUAUAUGACAAGUACUCCCUGGCGCCGACCAUCAAGGGACUGUGGUCUAUCGCUGUUGUAAGUCCCACAGUAAAGGUUUGACAGUGAAGGAG
Molecule: non-coding RNA, 310 nt
Organism: Salvelinus sp. IW2-2015
Lineage: Eukaryota; Metazoa; Chordata; Actinopteri; Salmoniformes; Salmonidae
Source: RefSeq, a predicted model, not a curated record